RNAcentral lists this ribosomal RNA (301 nucleotides) under uncultured bacterium. RNAcentral's name for it is "partial 16S ribosomal RNA". It matches the Rfam family "Bacterial small subunit ribosomal RNA", at positions 509 to 809 of the family's 1533-position model. The record is from RNAcentral.
CAGCCGCCACGGGAAUACGAAGGGUGCAAGCGUUACUCGGAAUUACUGGGCGUAAAGCGCGCGUAGGUGGUUUGUUAAGUUGGAUGUGAAAUCCCCGGGCUCAACCUGGGAACUGCAUCCAAAACUGGCAGGCUAGAGUAGGGCAGAGGGUGGUGGAAUUUCCUGUGUAGCGGUGAAAUGCGUAGAUAUAGGAAGGAACACCAGUGGCGAAGGCGACUACCUGGACUGAUACUGACACUGAGGUGCGAAAGCGUGGGGAGCAAACAGGAUUAGAUACCCCUGUAGUCCCUGUCUCUUAUAA